UCGUAACAAGGUUUCCGUAGGUGAACCUGCGGAAGGAUCAUUACCGAGUGUAGGGUUCCUAGCGAGCCCAACCUCCCACCCGUGUUUACUGUACCUUAGUUGCUUCGGCGGGCCCGCCAUUCAUGGCCGCCGGGGGCUCUCAGCCCCGGGCCCGCGCCCGCCGGAGACACCACGAACUCUGUCUGAUCUAGUGAAGUCUGAGUUGAUUGUAUCGCAAUCAGUUAAAACUUUCAACAAUGGAUCUCUUGGUUCCGGCAUCGAUGAAGAACGCAGCGAAAUGCGAUAACUAGUGUGAAUUGCAGAAUUCCGUGAAUCAUCGAGUCUUUGAACGCACAUUGCGCCCCCUGGUAUUCCGGGGGGCAUGCCUGUCCGAGCGUCAUUGCUGCCCAUCAAGCACGGCUUGUGUGUUGGGUCGUCGUCCCCUCUCCGGGGGGGACGGGCCCCAAAGGCAGCGGCGGCACCGCGUCCGAUCCUCGAGCGUAUGGGGCUUUGUCACCCGCUCUGUAGGCCCGGCCGGCGCUUGCCGAACGCAAAUCAAUCUUUUUCCAGGUUGACCUCGGAUCAGGUAGGGAUACCCGCUGAACCUAAGCAUAUCA
This 596-nucleotide unclassified non-coding RNA is filed under the name Aspergillus flavus. RNAcentral describes it as "sequence contains 18S rRNA gene, ITS1, 5.8S rRNA gene, ITS2, 28S rRNA gene". The stretch from base 226 to 379 matches the Rfam family "5.8S ribosomal RNA". The record is from RNAcentral. Lineage: Eukaryota; Fungi; Ascomycota; Eurotiomycetes; Eurotiales; Aspergillaceae.